CCGUUUCUUUCUUAAUUCUCUUAGAUUUGGACUUCUCUUUCUCUCUCUUUAUUUCUCUCAACCUCUAGCCCCAGCGCCACUUACCCCCAUUCUUCUUCAUCAUCUCUUAUUUAUUUCAUCUUCUCUCGAAAAAAAAAAAAAAAAAAAAAAAAAAAAAACCCCUAGCUGCUAAAUUUCUCUCAACCCUAGCGGUCCCUCGUCCAAUUUCUCUUAACCAUGGCCUCCAUUUUAGGUCUCGAGUUCACAAAAUUUGGAGAGCUUUCUCUCUCGCCUGCAAAUGAAGGUGGCUGAGUACGAGAGCCUGUGGUGGACCACCGCCAAAAAACACUAUGAAUUUUCUCUGAGUCAGCUAAUAGCAGCUGAGAACGACUCACACGACAUCGACCGCCCCACCGCCACCAUCUCAUCGGCUUCACGCAUUCUCAGGUAUGCUGCAAGAACAGGCCAACCUUAAUUCUACUUGUCUUCUGACUUUGAUGUGCUUCAUUUAUGCCACUGAUAGGAUUGAACAUCAACGAAGGAAGGCAAUUGAAGUUGAAUAUGGAGAAGGUUCUGACACAUUUAAACUUGUUGGACUCUCAGGUUUGAUGUGGUAAUGAAUUUAUUGAGUUAUAUGUAUAUUAGACAAAUUGUGUUUUAUGUUUUGUCAAAUUGAAUUUACUGAUUAUACUUUCUACUGCUUUGACUUACUACUGUUAAUUUUUACUUCGAGUAGGAUUUUUUUGAACGAUAAAUUGCAAGAAGAUUUUCUUGAACAAAAAAAAAAAAAAAAGCCAUGAAACCUGAUGAUCUAAUUGCGUAAUAUUGAGUUUUUUGGGUGAGGGAUUUCGAGUUUUCCGCCAAGUCUUUCCCUUAUUUUUAGUUUUUGAGUUGCAGGUAAUACUUUAUGGUCAAUGUGAUCCUAUAUCUAUUUAAUUAAUUAUAUUCUUAGAUCAUGUAGGAAGACUAGCAAGUAGCAAUGUUGCUGCUUUUUAAGUCAUUUAUUCUUCUUAUUUGGAUUUGAUGUGGGAUAUCCAUGACUGAUUGUUCAACCCAAAAUCUGGGAUUGUUGUUUUUAUGGUUUUAAAAGAUGAAGAUUAGAGGAAUUUAAGUGCUUUAGUUGAAGAAGGAAAACUGUACAUAUUCAUGUAUGACCCAUAUUGCUUCCUCUCUUUUUCACCUAUCUGAUCCUUUGGGAGUUUGAUCUCCACCAUAUAUAGUUUCUUAUUCUUAUUCUUCUUAAUUAAUAGUUAUUUGAAGUAAUAAUAUUGGUAUGUGUGUGUGUGUGUGUGUGUGUGUACGGAACUUAGAACCUAGAGUGAGAGUGAGCAACUAUUGUGAAAUGGCCCAACCCAACAUUCAUUUGCAAAUCUGAUUUAUAGAAAAUCCUGCCAGACUGUCCUUGUUGCCUUCCCCUGCCAAGAAGAAAAGAGUGUUAGACUGAAAGCUAAGCAUUUCAAUGCUUUUUUGAUUGUAUCCUAAUAUCACCAGUACUACUACUUCCUUUCAACCCUUUCAGUUGUCAUUGAAUGGCAUAGCGUUUCGCGAUUUAUCUCUGAAUCUUGUCAGUAUCUUAGUUGCUUGGAUUUCUCAGAAACCCCUUAUGUGAUGAACCAUAUGAAAAGAAUCAGUUUAAAUCAAAUAACUGUGAGAUAAACUUAUCGAAUAUUGACUCUUAUCAAUUAGUAUUUUAUAUAGGUGGCAUGAUGGGAUAGUCCCAUCAGAGUUCCAUCAUGCUUGAAGUGGGCUCCUCGCAGAGCCAUGUUCAUUGUAUGAUAUUCAAGGUUUGAUUUUCUGAUGCAAUUGCUAAAGCCUAUACACAUUAACCACAAAAUUUAUUUAAAAAUCUUUAUUAUUGGUUUUUGCAUUAUUUGUUGGGAAAUAUCCAUUCCCCUCCAUGCUUAUAAUUUUUUAUGCAAGGAAAACAAGCAAGUUGGCAAAUAUUUUUGUGUUCCUUAAAAAAUUAAGAUUACUGAUUUAUUUCCCUUAUUUCAAUGCGAAUGCAGCUACAUAAAAUCUACUGAACUAAUGGAAAGACCUAGCGUAUGGUUGUGGUAAAGUUUUGGUUGGUAAGGUCCUCCUGUUACUCAUGUGAAUCAGUUGUAGAGUGAUUUUAGUGUUUGAAUUUCAUCUUUCAAGCAUUAUCUGAAUUGCUUGAGUGCUUGAGUGCUUCAAUGUUUGAAUUAGAUCUUUCAAAUUGUAUGUGAAUUGUAGUCCGUUAGGGAAUUUUUUAUCAAAAUGUAAUGGAUGCCUUUUGGGUAAUAAUGCGUAUCAAGACCUUUGAAUUUGUUGAUUCAAAUGUUUGAACA
This is an RNA transcript of Pyrus x bretschneideri (Chinese white pear), 2288 nucleotides long. RefSeq lists it as uncharacterized. Lineage: Eukaryota; Viridiplantae; Streptophyta; Magnoliopsida; Rosales; Rosaceae. The transcript has 3 exons. The record is from RefSeq and is a predicted model, not a curated record.